CCGUGGUAGUUCUCUUCAGGCUUUGUCAUUCUAUAAUGAGUGAAGAAUGAGAGAUAAGACUUGGGCAGCGAGUUCAGUAUUGCAUCUUUCCCAAGCUACUCAUGCAAGGGAAAGCCGAGCUUGCUCAAUCGUUCCAUCAGCUCGAUCAUGUACAAUACAUGAUCAGUGAUAGAGGCAUCAUCCUGCAUUUUGGCAUUGAAGAUGGCACAACUAGUCUUGUGCCUCUCGACGUCAUCGGAUGUGCCAAAGGCAUCCUCCAACACUUGAAGCAUGUCCUUUGGCUGAGCCAUCUCGAAUCUGCGACUGAACUCAUCGCUCAUGGUAGCCAGCAUGAUACAGCACACCAUGGUCCGGUCACUGAGCCACUUCUGAUAAGUGUCUCUGACUGUUCCACGUGCAUUGACAGUUGGCUCCUCAGGUGCAGGAUCCAUUAUCACAUAUAGGAUCCGUUCAUGCUCCAGGACUAUCUUCAACUUUCGGUACUAGCUACCGAAGUUGGGUCCCACCAACUUAUCAUUAUCCAACAAUGAUCGGAGCGAUAGGAAAGUGGCCAUAUUUGCACAAAGGAGAACCAUAACCUAAUUAGUAAUUGAUUUAUUAAACCUAAAGAUUUGGACUUUAAUCAAA
Molecule: long non-coding RNA, 627 nt
Filed under: Elaeis guineensis (African oil palm)
Lineage: Eukaryota; Viridiplantae; Streptophyta; Magnoliopsida; Arecales; Arecaceae
Description: long non-coding RNA (EGUI_LNC030878)
Source: RNAcentral